UGGAUGAUGUGGUUUAAUUCGAUGCAACGCGAAAACCUUACCCACCUUUGACAUGUACGGAACUUGCCAGAGAUGGCUUGGUGCUCGAAAGAGAGCCGUAACACAGGUGCUGCAUGGCUGUCGUCAGCUCGUGUCGUGAGAUGUUGGGUUAAGUCCCGCAACGAGCGCAACCCUUGCCAUUAGUUGCUACGAAAGGGCACUCUAAUGGGACUGCCGGUGACAAACCGGAGGAAGGUGGGGAUGACGUCAAGUCCUCAUGGCCCUUAUAGGUGGGGCUACACACGUCAUACAAUGGCCGGUACAAAGGGUAGCCAACCCGCGAGGGGGGAGCCAAUCCCAUAAAGCCGGUCGUAGUCCGGAUCGCAGUCUGCAACUCGACUGCGUGAAGUCGGAAUCGCUAGUAAUCGUGGAUCAGCAUGUCACGGUGAAUACGUUCCCGGGUCUU
RNAcentral lists this ribosomal RNA (445 nucleotides) under uncultured Hydrogenophaga sp. RNAcentral describes it as "bacterial SSU rRNA". It matches the Rfam family "Bacterial small subunit ribosomal RNA", at positions 933 to 1382 of the family's 1533-position model. The record is from RNAcentral. Lineage: Bacteria; Pseudomonadati; Pseudomonadota; Betaproteobacteria; Burkholderiales; Comamonadaceae.